AGGCUAUGAUGAUUAAAGUUAUACCAUUAAACUAUGAAAACUCAGUGUUGAGCUGUUUGAUUAAUCCAUAAUUAAUAUCUCUGAGCCU
Impatiens glandulifera is the source of this 88-nucleotide small nucleolar RNA. RefSeq annotates it as small nucleolar RNA snoR116. The record is from RefSeq and is a predicted model, not a curated record. Lineage: Eukaryota; Viridiplantae; Streptophyta; Magnoliopsida; Ericales; Balsaminaceae. The transcript has a single exon.